AUUGAACGCUGGCGGCAUGCGUAACACAUGCAAGUCGAACGGUUUCUGGUGCUUGCACCGGAGAUAGUGGCGGACGGGUGAGUAAUACGUAGGAAUCUGUCUUAGAGAGGGGGACAACCUGAGGAAACUUAGGCUAAAACCGCAUAAACUCGGAAGAGAAAAGCAGGGGACCGGAAACGGCCUUGUGCUCUAAUGUGAGCCUACGUCGGAUUAGCUAGUUGGUGGGGUAAAGGCCUACCAAGGCGAUGAUCUGUAGCUGGUCUGAGAGGACGGACAGCCACACUGGGACUGAGACACGGCCCAGACUCCUACGGGAGGCAGCAGUGGGGAAUAUUGGACAAUGGGGGGAACCCUGAUCCAGCGAUGCCGCGUGUGUGAAGAAGGCCUGCGGGUUGUAAAGCACUUUCAGUUGGAAAGAGAAGCGAGAUGAGAAUAUUGUUUCGUGGAGACGUUACUAACAGAAGAAGCACCGGCUAACUCUGUGCCAGCAGCCGCAGUAA
Molecule: ribosomal RNA, 500 nt
Filed under: uncultured bacterium
Lineage: Bacteria
Description: partial 16S ribosomal RNA
Rfam family: Bacterial small subunit ribosomal RNA
Source: RNAcentral